RNAcentral lists this unclassified non-coding RNA (311 nucleotides) under uncultured Hymenopellis. Its description in RNAcentral is "sequence contains ITS2". Lineage: Eukaryota; Fungi; Basidiomycota; Agaricomycetes; Agaricales; Physalacriaceae. The record is from RNAcentral.
AAUUCUCAACCCUUCUUACUUUGUUGUUAAGGAUGGGAUUGGAUGGUGGAGGCUUGCUGGAUGUUCAACGUUCAGCUCCUCUGAAAUGCAUUAGCGGUACAACCAUUUACUUGAGCUUACGCUAAGCUGUGAUAAUAUCUAAGCUAGCUGGUUCAGAGUGUUGGCAGAGUUCGGGUUUUUGAAGGGUUUUGCUUCGCGGCUCCCUUUGUGUUCUCUCUCUUAGGGGAGGGAUACCUAUGCGACUCUGUGAAAAAGUGUUGUUGCGGCUUCCAACCGUCUCUUGAAACUGGGACAAACGUUUUAAACUGAUU